Molecule: ribosomal RNA, 360 nt
Filed under: Haddadus binotatus (clay robber frog)
Lineage: Eukaryota; Metazoa; Chordata; Amphibia; Anura; Craugastoridae
Description: partial 16S ribosomal RNA
Rfam family: Bacterial large subunit ribosomal RNA
Source: RNAcentral
UAGCACAAGUAAUUGUCUUUUAAUUGUAGAAGUGAAUGAAAGGCACCACGAGGAUUAAGCUGUCUCCUUUCUCCAAUCAAUGAAACUAAUCUUCUCGUGAAAAAGCGAGAAUAACCCCAUAAGACGAAAAGACCCUAUGGAGCUUUAAACAACUAACACCUGCUCACAAACUACCCCGAGCAUCCUGAUUACAAGUUUUUGGUUGGGGCGACCACGGAGUACAACACACCCCCCGCGUUGAAAACCGUAAAUAAAUAAGCGACAGCUUUAUGAAUCAACAAAUUGACACAAUUGACCCAAUAUCUUGAUCAACGAACCCAGUUACCCUAGGGAUAACAGCGCCAUCCGCUUCAAGAGCAC